This 169-nucleotide ribosomal RNA is filed under the name Gorgasia galzini (speckled garden-eel). RNAcentral's name for it is "partial small subunit ribosomal RNA". The record is from RNAcentral. Lineage: Eukaryota; Metazoa; Chordata; Actinopteri; Anguilliformes; Congridae.
CACCGCGGUUAUACGAGAGGCUCAAAUUGAUAUUCAAACGGCGUAAAGUGUGAUUAGAAGAAAAAAAGAAAUAAAGCCAAACAACCCAUAAGCUGUCAUACGCUAAUAGGGCUAGAAGAACUACAACGAAAGUAGCUUUAAAAACCUUGAACUCACGACUAUUAAGAAA